RNAcentral lists this ribosomal RNA (1190 nucleotides) under Kaistella carnis. RNAcentral describes it as "bacterial SSU rRNA". It matches the Rfam family "Bacterial small subunit ribosomal RNA", at positions 256 to 1459 of the family's 1533-position model. The record is from RNAcentral. Lineage: Bacteria; Pseudomonadati; Bacteroidota; Flavobacteriia; Flavobacteriales; Weeksellaceae.
GGUAACGGCUCACCAAGUCAAUGAUCUUAGGGGUCCUGAGAGGGAGAUCCCCCACACUGGUACUGAGACACGGACCAGACUCCUACGGGAGGCAGCAGUGAGGAAUAUUGGACAAUGGGUGAGAGCCUGAUCCAGCCAUCCCGCGUGAAGGAUGACGGUCCUAUGGAUUGUAAACUUCUUUUGUAUAGGAAUAAACCUACCCUCGUGAGGGUAGCUGAAGGUACUAUACGAAUAAGCACCGGCUAACUCCGUGCCAGCAGCCGCGGUAAUACGGAGGGUGCAAGCGUUAUCCGGAUUUAUUGGGUUUAAAGGGUCCGUAGGCGGACCGAUAAGUCAGUGGUGAAAUCUCAUAGCUUAACUAUGAAACUGCCGUUGAUACUGUCGGUCUUGAGUAAAUUAGAGGUAGCUGGAAUAAGUAGUGUAGCGGUGAAAUGCAUAGAUAUUACUUAGAACACCAAUUGCGAAGGCAGGUUACCAUGAUUUAACUGACGCUGAGGGACGAAAGCGUGGGGAGCGAACAGGAUUAGAUACCCUGGUAGUCCACGCCGUAAACGAUGCUAACUCGUUUUUGGGGCGCAAGCUUCAGAGACCAAGCGAAAGUGAUAAGUUAGCCACCUGGGGAGUACGUUCGCAAGAAUGAAACUCAAAGGAAUUGACGGGGGCCCGCACAAGCGGUGGAUUAUGUGGUUUAAUUCGAUGAUACGCGAGGAACCUUACCAAGACUUAAAUGGGAAAUGACAGGUUUAGAAAUAGAUCCUUCUUCGGACAUUUUUCAAGGUGCUGCAUGGUUGUCGUCAGCUCGUGCCGUGAGGUGUUAGGUUAAGUCCUGCAACGAGCGCAACCCCUGUCACUAGUUGCUAACAUUCAGUUGAGGACUCUAGUGAGACUGCCUACGCAAGUAGAGAGGAAGGUGGGGAUGACGUCAAAUCAUCACGGCCCUUACGUCUUGGGCCACACACGUAAUACAAUGGCCGGUACAGAGGGCAGCUACACAGCGAUGUGAUGCAAAUCUCGAAAGCCGGUCUCAGUUCGGAUUGGAGUCUGCAACUCGACUCUAUGAAGCUGGAAUCGCUAGUAAUCGCGCAUCAGCCAUGGCGCGGUGAAUACGUUCCCGGGCCUUGUACACACCGCCCGUCAAGCCAUGGAAGUUUGGGGUACCUGAAGUCGGUGACCGUAAAAGGAGCUGCCUA